GUUACUCAAGAAAAGGAUUUAAGUCCAACCUAAAGUCAUCAUUACUACCCUUAAAUAACUACAUUACUUUAGAGCAAUUCAAAUAAGGUACAGCCUAUUUGAAACAGGAUACAACCUCUAGAGACGGGUAAUACCUAUUCACGGUAACCAAGUAGGCUUAAAAGCAGCCACCUUUAAAAUAGCGUCAAAGCUUCAUUACCCCUACACCCAAUUCCUUCUAUAACCCAGAACCCUCCACCACUACUGAGUACUUCUAUAUUUUUAUAGAAUAUUUUAUGUUAAAACUAGUAACAAGAAGCAGAACUUCACUAAAAUGUAAGUGUAAGCCAGAAAGGACACACCACUGGCCAUUAACACCCCUGCAAACAAAUUAAUAACUUUCCCCGAGAAAAAUUUAAUUUUUUUAACGUUAACCUGACGCAAGAGCAUUUCAAGUAAGAUUAAAAGAAAAAGAAGGAACUCGGCAAAUAUUAACCUCGCCUGUUUACCAAAAACAUCGCCUCUUGCCCCAAUAUAAGAGGUCCAGCCUGCCCAGUGACUCUGUUCAACGGCCGCGGUAUCCUA
Molecule: ribosomal RNA, 564 nt
Filed under: Hyla arborea (European tree frog)
Lineage: Eukaryota; Metazoa; Chordata; Amphibia; Anura; Hylidae
Description: partial 16S ribosomal RNA
Source: RNAcentral